GCAACUCUCUCUCUCUCUCUCUCUCUCUCUCUCCCCCAUUCUGCCAAGCAAGAGCUCUCUCUCAAUCGGGCGGUGAAGAAACCUCCAUACGUGGCACAAUCACUCUCGAUUUCCCUCUCUUAGCAUUGAUUCUGAUUGGAAGUUUGUUACUGGAUUUUAGGAAGGAAUUGGAAUUUUGUAGAGAUUAUUUUACACUCUUUUCAGGUGAUUACGCUAUAGUACCGGGCACUAGAAAUCCUCCUUGGAUCCUAACAUUACUC
Magnolia sinica is the source of this 260-nucleotide long non-coding RNA. RefSeq lists it as uncharacterized. The record is from RefSeq and is a predicted model, not a curated record. The transcript is spliced from 3 exons. NCBI's taxonomy places the organism in Eukaryota, Viridiplantae, Streptophyta, Magnoliopsida, Magnoliales, Magnoliaceae.